GCAUCAAUUCAAACAUAUAGUAUUAAUCAAAAUAAGAUCUAUACGAAUUCAAUCUUUUUAAAUUCAUUUUAAUUCAUAUAUCAAUUUCUUUCAAAAUAUUCAGUUCACCUCGAUAGUCAUGAACUACGACUACACUUAUAUUCUGUGAUUAGGUCAGAUGAGCUCAGAAUAGACAAGAUGCCAACGUAUAUCCCCCACCGUUAGGAUGUCAAUAAAUCAGUGCAUAACCCCGACCGACAAGAUGUCGAUAGAUCAGUGCAUAAUCUCUACUAGCAGAAUGUCGAUAUAUCAGUGUAGAAUCUUCAUUGAUAGGGUAUCGAUAUAUCGGUGUAGAAUCUUGACAAAUAAGAUAUUAAUGUACCAGCGCAUAAUUUUCACUAGUAGGAUAUUGAUGUGGCAGUAUAUAACC
RNAcentral lists this long non-coding RNA (409 nucleotides) under Elaeis guineensis (African oil palm). RNAcentral's name for it is "long non-coding RNA (EGUI_LNC014556)". The record is from RNAcentral. Lineage: Eukaryota; Viridiplantae; Streptophyta; Magnoliopsida; Arecales; Arecaceae.